AUUCCAUGGUAAGGGCAUUUUCUUAAUAGCUAUUUGAACCUCUCUUAUGCAUCAGUAACAACUUCAUUCUCCAAUUGUUUAAAAAGACAAAUUUCAUUCUUGACU
Molecule: small nucleolar RNA, 105 nt
Organism: Cynara cardunculus var. scolymus (artichoke)
Lineage: Eukaryota; Viridiplantae; Streptophyta; Magnoliopsida; Asterales; Asteraceae
Source: RefSeq, a predicted model, not a curated record